UACGUAGGGGGCAAGCGUUGUCCGGAAUCAUUGGGCGUAAAGCGCGCGUAGGCGGCCCGGUAAGUCCGCUGUGAAAGUCAAAGGCUCAACCUUUGAAUGCCGGUGGAUACUGCCGGGCUAGAGUCCGGAAGAGGCGAGUGGAAUUCCUGGUGUAGCGGUGGAAUGCGCAGAUAUCAGGAGGAACACCAAUAGCGAAGGCAGCUCGCUGGGACGGUACUGACGCUGAGGCGCGAAAGCGUGGGGAGCGAACAGG
RNAcentral lists this ribosomal RNA (253 nucleotides) under uncultured bacterium. RNAcentral describes it as "partial 16S ribosomal RNA". It matches the Rfam family "Bacterial small subunit ribosomal RNA", at positions 524 to 776 of the family's 1533-position model. The record is from RNAcentral.